AGUGAACGCUGGCGGUAGGCCUAACACAUGCAAGUCGAACGGCAGCACAGGAGAGCUUGCUCUCUGGGUGGCGAGUGGCGGACGGGUGAGGAAUACAUCGGAAUCUACCUUUUCGUGGGGGAUAACGUAGGGAAACUUACGCUAAUACCGCAUACGACCUUCGGGUGAAAGCAGGGGACCUUCGGGCCUUGCGCGGAUAGAUGAGCCGAUGUCGGAUUAGCUAGUUGGCGGGGUACAGGCCCACCAAGGCGACGAUCCGUAGCUGGUCUGAGAGGAUGAUCAGACACACUGGAACUGAGACACGGUCCAGACUCCUACGGGAGGCAGCAGUGGGGAAUAUUGGACAAUGGGCGCAAGCCUGAUCCAGCCAUACCGCGUGGGUGAAGAAGGCCUUCGGGUUGUAAAGCCCUUUUGUUGGGAAAGAAAAGCAGCCAGUUAAUACCUGGUUGUUCUGACGGUACCCAAAGAAUAAGCACCGGCUAACUUCGUGCCAGCAGCCGCGGUAA
RNAcentral lists this ribosomal RNA (506 nucleotides) under uncultured bacterium. Its description in RNAcentral is "partial 16S ribosomal RNA". It matches the Rfam family "Bacterial small subunit ribosomal RNA", at positions 29 to 523 of the family's 1533-position model. The record is from RNAcentral.